Molecule: ribosomal RNA, 253 nt
Filed under: uncultured bacterium
Lineage: Bacteria
Description: partial 16S ribosomal RNA
Rfam family: Bacterial small subunit ribosomal RNA
Source: RNAcentral
GACGUAGGGGGCCAGCGUUGUUCGGAAUUACUGGGUGUAAAGGGUUCGUAGGCGGUGUGGCAAGUCGGGAGUGAAAUCUCUGGGCUCAACCCAGAGACUGCUUCCGAAACUGCUGUGCUUGAGUGUGAGAGAGGCUCGUGGAAUUGCAGGUGUAGCGGUGAAAUGCGUAGAUAUCUGCAGGAACACCCGUGGCGAAAGCGGCGAGCUGGAUCACUACUGACGCUGAGGAACGAAGGCUAGGGGAGCAAACAGG